AAGUCGUAACAAGGUUUCCGUAGGUGAACCUGCGGAAGGAUCAUUAACACGUAUCCAACGUUAAACAACCCUGUGAACUUUCAGACGCUCUUGUAGCCCAGGAGGAACAGCAGUAAAUCAAUGGCGGAAAAGUUUUGAUUCAUGGUUUCCCUAAGCAGUGCAGAAGGAUCCACUGAGUAAGGAUAACGCAUCACGGUUGCCGAAGGUCGAUCACCGGGCAGACAUGUCACAGGGCUUUACGCCCCUUCAUUCACCCCUUGCCUAAUCAAGCCCCGCGGAAACGCCGGGCAAAACAAUCUGAACAACUGUUAACAAUGGAUAUCUUGGUUCUC
Molecule: unclassified non-coding RNA, 332 nt
Filed under: fungal sp.
Lineage: Eukaryota; Fungi
Description: partial internal transcribed spacer region
Rfam family: Eukaryotic small subunit ribosomal RNA (bases 1-46)
Source: RNAcentral